GGGACAUUGGUCUAGUGGUAUGAUACCUUCUUAGGGUGGAGGUGGUCGAGGGUUCGAUUCCCUCAUGUCCCC
This is a transfer RNA of Micromonas sp., 72 nucleotides long. It matches the Rfam family "tRNA". Rfam says of the family: Transfer RNA (tRNA) molecules are approximately 80 nucleotides in length. Their secondary structure includes four short double-helical elements and three loops (D, anti-codon, and T loops). Further hydrogen bonds mediate the characteristic L-shaped molecular structure. tRNAs have two regions of fundamental functional importance: the anti-codon, which is responsible for specific mRNA codon recognition, and the 3' end, to which the tRNAs corresponding amino acid is attached (by aminoacyl-tRNA synthetases). tRNAs cope with the degeneracy of the genetic code in two manners: having more than one tRNA (with a specific anti-codon) for a particular amino acid; and 'wobble' base-pairing, i.e. permitting non-standard base-pairing at the 3rd anti-codon position. Lineage: Eukaryota; Viridiplantae; Chlorophyta; Mamiellophyceae; Mamiellales; Mamiellaceae. The record is from Rfam.